CCCUUAGAUGUUCUGGGCCGCACGCGCGCUACACUGACGAAUGCAACGAGCUUAUAACCUUGGCCGAAAGGUCUGGGUAAUCUCCAAAUUUCGUCGUGAUGGGGAUAGAUUAUUGCAAUUAUUAAUCUUCAACGAGGAAUGCCUAGUAAGCGCAAGUCAUCAGCUUGCGUUGAUUACGUCCCUGCCCUUUGUACACACCGCCCGUCGCUCCUACCGAUUGAAUGGUCCGGUGAAGCCUCGGGAUUGUGGCGAGUUCCCUUUAUUGGGAGUUUGUCGCGAGAACUUGUCUAAACCUUAUCAUUUAGAGGAAGGUGAAGUCGUAACA
RNAcentral lists this ribosomal RNA (325 nucleotides) under uncultured eukaryote. Its description in RNAcentral is "partial 18S ribosomal RNA". It matches the Rfam family "Eukaryotic small subunit ribosomal RNA", at positions 1470 to 1796 of the family's 1831-position model. The record is from RNAcentral.